AGAAUCAACGCUGGCGGCGUGCCUAACACAUGCAAGUCGCACGAGAAAGGGGAGCAAUCCCUGAGUACAGUGGCGCACGGGUGAGUAACACGUGAAUAAUCUACCUCCGAGUGGGGAAUAACUGAGAGAAAUCUUAGCUAAUACCGCAUAACACUUACGAGUCAAAGCAGCAAUGCGCUUGGAGAGGAGUUCGCGGCCGAUUAGUUAGUUGGCGGGGUAAUGGCCCACCAAGACGAUGAUCGGUAUCCGGCCUGAGAGGGCGCACGGACACACUGGAACUGAAACACGGUCCAGACUCCUACGGGAGGCAGCAGUGGGGAAUUUUGCGCAAUGGGGGAAACCCUGACGCAGCAACGCCGCGUGGAGGAUGAAUAUCUUGGUAUGUAAACUCCUUUCGAUGGGGAAGAUUAUGACGGUACCCAUAGAAGAAGCCCCGGCUAACUUCGCGCCAGCAGCCGC
Molecule: ribosomal RNA, 459 nt
Filed under: uncultured bacterium
Lineage: Bacteria
Description: SSU rRNA
Rfam family: Bacterial small subunit ribosomal RNA
Source: RNAcentral